RNAcentral lists this ribosomal RNA (406 nucleotides) under uncultured bacterium. RNAcentral describes it as "partial 16S ribosomal RNA". It matches the Rfam family "Bacterial small subunit ribosomal RNA", at positions 30 to 526 of the family's 1533-position model. The record is from RNAcentral.
AUUGAACGCUGGCGGCAGGCCUAACACAUGCAAGUCGAGCGAGCGGCGGACGGGUGAGUAAUGUCUGGGAAACUGUCUGAUGGAGGGGGAUAACUACUGGAAACGGUAGCUAAUACCGCAUACCAUCAGAGGUGCCCAGAUGGGAUUAGCGAGUAGGUGGGGUAACGGCUCACCUAGGCGAGGAUCCCUAGCUGGUCUGAGAGGAUGAGCAGCCACACUGGAACUGAGACACGGUCCAGACUCCUACGGGAGGCAGCAGUGGGGAAUAUUGCACAAUGGGCGCAAGCCUGAUGCAGCCAUGCCGCGUGUGUGAAGUAGGCCUUCGGGUUGUAAAGCACUUUCAGCGGGGAGGCGUUACCCGCAGAAGAAGCACCGGCUAACUCCGUGCCAGCAGCCGCGGUAAUUC